Molecule: ribosomal RNA, 406 nt
Filed under: uncultured bacterium
Lineage: Bacteria
Description: partial 16S ribosomal RNA
Rfam family: Bacterial small subunit ribosomal RNA
Source: RNAcentral
AUUGAACGCUGGCGGCAGGCCUAACACAUGCAAGUCGAACGAGUGGCGGACGGGUGAGUAAUGUCUGGGAAACUGCCUGAUGGAGGGGGAUAACUACUGGAAACGUUAGCUAAUACCGCAUACCAUCAGAUGUGCCCAGAUGGGAUUAGCUAGUUGGUGGGGUAAAGGCUCACCAAGGCGACGAGCCCUCGCUGGUCUGAGAGGAUGACCAGCCACACUGGGACUGAGACACGGUCCAGACGCCGAUGGGAGGAAGCAGUGGGGAAUAGUGCACAAUGGGCGCAAGCCUGAUGCAGCCAUGCCGCGUGUAUGAAGAAGGCCUUCGGAUUGGAAAGUACUUUCAGCGGGGAGGCGUUACCCGCAGAAGAAGCACCGGCUAACUCCGUGCCAGCAGCCGCGGUAAUAC